This is a long non-coding RNA of Phymastichus coffea, 1728 nucleotides long. RefSeq lists it as uncharacterized. NCBI's taxonomy places the organism in Eukaryota, Metazoa, Arthropoda, Insecta, Hymenoptera, Eulophidae. The transcript has 2 exons. The record is from RefSeq and is a predicted model, not a curated record.
CGCGCGAAAGCGCCGCACGACGAUCACGACCCGCGGCAUGCAAGUCUAAUGCGCAUUGUGCGCCUCUCGCGCGCUGAAAUAUGAUUCGCGGCGGAUUUUCACUCUCUCGCGGCACGCAACGCAGGCGCCAAGGAGAGAUACGCGCUCGAGUUUUAAGAAGAGAGGCUGCGGCCGUAACGGCUGAUUUACGACAAGCCGGCCUGAAUAAUUGGUGGGCGGCGCGAACUGCCCCGGCUGCCGCUUCUGCUUCUGGAUUUUUCAGGUGCCCGGCGACGCGCCCGGAGAACUUUGAUUUGUGCGCGCGCGCGUGACAGUCGCUACGCGACUCGCUCUCUUCGCAUUCCGUCUUUCGGCUCGAGGCACGGACAAAGCUCGGAUAACGAGCUGCAAAGUAGCACGUAAAAUGACAAGGCUGUUACGCGAGGAAUGAUCAUAUCGGGAGAACGUGCUCGGAUAUCGUCCGCCGCGAUUGUAUAAAACGCUCGAUUUUUCCCAAAUCUAUCGUCAGUACGAGUAAUAAACUCGCGAAAUGAGGAUCGUCCUGCUAGCUGCGCUGUUGCUGGCUGGGCUGGCGUCGGCGUCGGCGAAAAAAUCGAUGCUGCUGACGCUCGUUGUUCAGGCGAAAGUGUCGCUGCCGCCGUCACCGUGCCCCGACUCAACGUCCUCGGAAGCCGAGUCGGAAAGGUCGCUCGGUCCGUUGCUGCGAAAGCUGUUCGAUGCGCCACCGUCGUCGCUCACCUCGAGAUCGUCGACGGAGCAGUUUUCCCAGACGGCAACGUCGCCGCCACCAACGUUACCUCCGCCAAUGACGUCGGCCGAACCACCCUCGUCGCCGUCGGGAUCGCCUUACCAAGUGCUGUCGUUCCCAGAUCUAUCGCUACCACGACCGUUGCCGGGUGAACCGUUUUCGCCACCAGCAUUACCCUCGUUAACGUCACCAUCGCCGAUGCAGUUUUACCUAAUGAUACCACUGCAACCGUACCUGUGUUACCAAACGUCGCCAAUGCCACUGGUGACGUACGAGAUGCCGCGAUUGUGUAGAUGUCGCCAACAUUUCAAGUAAAGAUGUCCUUUGCAGGUGAAAAAUCCGUACGUCGUCAUCGCCAGCAUCAAACCGUCAUCGCCAGAUGGAAUCUCCAGGCGCAUAAAAUUUAUUCGUCGCGCGGCGCAGAUCCCACCCACGCGUAUACUCGCGCGGUAGCCAUCGUAAAAUAUAUCGCGAGACUCGUGUGGCCGUGCCUCGCGAUGGUAAUCGCCGCCGCUCGUGCAGGGAGGACCUAUAAAUGCGCAUUCAAAUCGCGGAAUGCAAAAGCGCGUAGGCGACGAGAAGAUUUUGUUUACUUGUUGCUUUCUCUCUCUCCGGGCUACGUAUUUGCGCGAAAAUCGCUUAAUUCGCGAUCACCGGCGAGCGCCGCAUCUCCCUUCUAAGUUUCGUUCGAUGGCAAUUUACGGCGCGUGCGUGUGAUUCACGACGAUCUUAUCGCGGAAAACAAACAUCAGCUGGCAAUCCUGUGCUGUCUGUGUCUUUCUCACAUGUGUAUGUACAUAUAUAUAUAUAUAUUUUUUUUAUUUUACAACCUGCCAGUUACGAGGUAUAAAAUUUUGCGGCACGGUUGCGAGCGAAAAGUUUCAAGACUCAUCUGCAUGGAAAGGUUGGGCUACAUCGAAAUGAUUGUAAUUCUGCUUGAAUGUAAUUUCACGUUACGCAAUAAAUGACUUAUAAUAAAA